RNAcentral lists this unclassified non-coding RNA (387 nucleotides) under soil metagenome. RNAcentral describes it as "partial contains 5.8S ribosomal RNA, internal transcribed spacer 2, and large subunit ribosomal RNA". The stretch from base 1 to 120 matches the Rfam family "5.8S ribosomal RNA", at positions 35 to 154 of the family's 154-position model. The record is from RNAcentral.
GAUGAAGAACGCAGCGAAAUGCGAUAAGUAAUGUGAAUUGCAGAAUUCAGUGAAUCAUCGAAUCUUUGAACGCACCUUGCACCCUUUGGCAUUCCGAAGGGUAUGCUCGUUUGAGUGUCAUUGUACUCUCACACUCUCCGAUCCUAUGGAUUCGGGGAGCGGUGGACUUGGGUGUUGCUGCCUUUCCUUGUGGCUCACCUCAAAUGUGUCAGUGCACCUCUUGGUUGGACAUAGUACGGCGUGAUAAGUGUCUUCGCCGGCACCUCGCAAGAGGGUUGCCGAUCGGGAGCUCUGUGCUUUCAAACCGUCUUCGGACAAUUUCUGACAACUUGACCUCAAAUCGAGUAGGACUACCCGCUGAACUUAAGCAUAUCAAUAAGCGGAGGA